Molecule: ribosomal RNA, 274 nt
Filed under: uncultured bacterium
Lineage: Bacteria
Description: partial 16S ribosomal RNA
Rfam family: Bacterial small subunit ribosomal RNA
Source: RNAcentral
AUACGGAGGGUGCAAGCGUUAAUCGGAAUUACUGGGCGUAAAGCGCGCGUAGGCGGUUUGAUAAGUCGGAUGUGAAAUCCCCGGGCUCAACAUGGGAAUUGCAUUCGAUACUGUCAGGCUAGAGUGUGGUAGAGGGAAGUGGAAUUUCCGGUGUAGCGGUGAAAUGCGUAGAUAUCGGAAGGAACACCAGUGGCGAAGGCGGCUUCCUGGACCAACACUGACGCUGAGGUGCGAAAGCGUGGCGAGCAAACAGGAUUAGAUACCCUAGUAGUCC